This 458-nucleotide ribosomal RNA is filed under the name uncultured bacterium. Its description in RNAcentral is "partial 16S ribosomal RNA". It matches the Rfam family "Bacterial small subunit ribosomal RNA", at positions 338 to 795 of the family's 1533-position model. The record is from RNAcentral.
CCUACGGGUGGCAGCAGUGAGGAAUAUUGGUCAAUGGGCGAGAGCCUGAACCAGCCAAGUCGCGUGAGGGAGUACUGCCCUAUGGGUUGUAAACCUCUUUUGUCGGGGAGCAAAAGCCGGACGUGUCCGGCUGUGAGAGUACCCGAAGAAAAAGCAUCGGCUAACUCCGUGCCAGCAGCCGCGGUAAUACUGGGGAUGCGCGCGUUAUCCGGAUUUAUUGGGGUUAAAGGGUGCGCAGGCGGAUUUUUAAGUCAGCGGUCAAAUCGUGGGGCUCAACCCCGUCCAGCCGUUGAAACUGGGGAUCUAGAGUGUGCGAGAGGUAUGCGGAAUGCGUGGUGUAGCGGUGAAAUGCAUAGAUAUCACGCAGAACCCCGAUUGCGAAGGCAGAAUACCGGUGCACAACUGACGCUGAGGCACGAAAGCGUGGGUAUCGAACAGGAUUAGAUACCCUUGUAGUC